This 618-nucleotide ribosomal RNA is filed under the name uncultured bacterium. RNAcentral's name for it is "bacterial SSU rRNA". It matches the Rfam family "Bacterial small subunit ribosomal RNA", at positions 338 to 948 of the family's 1533-position model. The record is from RNAcentral.
CCUACGGGAGGCAGCAGUGGGGAAUUUUGGACAAUGGGCGCAAGCCUGAUCCAGCAAUGCCGCGUGCAGGAUGAAGGCCUUCGGGUUGUAAACUGCUUUUGUACGGAACGAAACGGCCCUUUCUAAUACAAGGGGCUAAUGACGGUACCGUAAGAAUAAGCACCGGCUAACUACGUGCCAGCAGCCGCGGUAAUACGUAGGGUGCGAGCGUUAAUCGGAAUUACUGGGCGUAAAGCGUGCGCAGGCGGUUAUAUAAGACAGAUGUGAAAUCCCCGGGCUCAACCUGGGACCUGCAUUUGUGACUGUAUAGCUAGAGUACGGUAGAGGGGGAUGGAAUUCCGCGUGUAGCAGUGAAAUGCGUAGAUAUGCGGAGGAACACCGAUGGCGAAGGCAAUCCCCUGGACCUGUACUGACGCUCAUGCACGAAAGCGUGGGGAGCAAACAGGAUUAGAUACCCUGAUAGUCCACGCCCUAAACGAUGUCAACUGGUUGUUGGGUCUUCACUGACUCAGUAACGAAGCUAACGCGUGAAGUUGACCGCCUGGGGAGUACGGCCGCAAGGUUGAAACUCAAAGGAAUUGACGGCGNGAGAGNGCGAGACGACGACGAGGGAGGAGG